GACGAACGCUGGCGGCGUGCUCAACACAUGCAAGUCGAACGGUAAGGCCCUUCGGGGUACACGAGUGGCGAACGGGUGAGUAACACGUGGGUGAUCUGCCCUGCACUUCGGGAUAAGCCUGGGAAACUGGGUCUAAUACCGGAUAGGACCACUGCCUGCAUGGGUGGUGGUGGAAAGCUUUUGCGGUGUGGGAUGGGCCCGCGGCCUAUCAGCUUGUUGGUGGGGUGAUGGCCCACCGAGGCGACGACGGGUAGCCGGCCUGAGAGGGUGACCGGCCACACUGGGACGGAGAUACGGCGCAGACUCCGCCGGGAGGCAGCAGUGGGGAAUAUUGCACAAUGGGCGCAAGGCUGAUGCAGCGACGCCGCGUGAGGGAUGACGGCCUUCGGGUUGUAAACCUCUUUCAGCACCGACGAAGCGCAAGUGACGGUAGGUGCAGAAGAAGGACCGGCCAACUACGUGCCAGCCGCCGCUGUAA
RNAcentral lists this ribosomal RNA (478 nucleotides) under uncultured bacterium. RNAcentral's name for it is "partial 16S ribosomal RNA". It matches the Rfam family "Bacterial small subunit ribosomal RNA", at positions 28 to 523 of the family's 1533-position model. The record is from RNAcentral.